This is a long non-coding RNA of Homarus americanus (American lobster), 252 nucleotides long. RefSeq lists it as uncharacterized. The transcript has 4 exons. Lineage: Eukaryota; Metazoa; Arthropoda; Malacostraca; Decapoda; Nephropidae. The record is from RefSeq and is a predicted model, not a curated record.
UAACAGUGUUAUUUAUUUUGAGAGAUAUUUGUGUGUAAUGAUCCUUGUUGUUGAUUAAAAAUUUAAGUUACUUUAGGGAUAACAGCGUUAUUUUGAGAGUUCAUAUCGACAAAAAAGUUUGCGACCUCGAUGUUGAAUUAAAAAUUCGCCAUGGCGUAGGAGUUGUGGAGGUAGGGCUGUUCGACCUUGAAAUUUUUACAUGAUUUGAGUUCAAACCGGCGUGAGCCAGGUUGGUUUCUAUCUUUUAAGAAA